This 1636-nucleotide ribosomal RNA is filed under the name Staphylococcus aureus. RNAcentral describes it as "partial 23S ribosomal RNA". It matches the Rfam family "Bacterial large subunit ribosomal RNA", at positions 1290 to 2925 of the family's 2925-position model. Lineage: Bacteria; Bacillati; Bacillota; Bacilli; Caryophanales; Staphylococcaceae. The record is from RNAcentral.
GAGAAUGCCGGUGUGAGUAGCGAAAGACGGGUGAGAAUCCCGUCCACCGAUUGACUAAGGUUUCCAGAGGAAGGCUCGUCCGCUCUGGGUUAGUCGGGUCCUAAGCUGAGGCCGACAGGCGUAGGCGAUGGAUAACAGGUUGAUAUUCCUGUACCACCUAUAAUCGUUUUAAUCGAUGGGGGGACGCAGUAGGAUAGGCGAAGCGUGCGAUUGGAUUGCACGUCUAAGCAGUAAGGCUGAGUAUUAGGCAAAUCCGGUACUCGUUAAGGCUGAGCUGUGAUGGGGAGAAGACAUUGUGUCUUCGAGUCGUUGAUUUCACACUGCCGAGAAAAGCCUCUAGAUAGAAAAUAGGUGCCCGUACCGCAAACCGACACAGGUAGUCAAGAUGAGAAUUCUAAGGUGAGCGAGCGAACUCUCGUUAAGGAACUCGGCAAAAUGACCCCGUAACUUCGGGAGAAGGGGUGCUCUUUAGGGUUAACGCCCAGAAGAGCCGCAGUGAAUAGGCCCAAGCGACUGUUUAUCAAAAACACAGGUCUCUGCUAAACCGUAAGGUGAUGUAUAGGGGCUGACGCCUGCCCGGUGCUGGAAGGUUAAGAGGAGUGGUUAGCUUCUGCGAAGCUACGAAUCGAAGCCCCAGUAAACGGCGGCCGUAACUAUAACGGUCCUAAGGUAGCGAAAUUCCUUGUCGGGUAAGUUCCGACCCGCACGAAAGGCGUAACGAUUUGGGCACUGUCUCAACGAGAGACUCGGUGAAAUCAUAGUACCUGUGAAGAUGCAGGUUACCCGCGACAGGACGGAAAGACCCCGUGGAGCUUUACUGUAGCCUGAUAUUGAAAUUCGGCACAGCUUGUACAGGAUAGGUAGGAGCCUUUGAAACGUGAGCGCUAGCUUACGUGGAGGCGCUGGUGGGAUACUACCCUAGCUGUGUUGGCUUUCUAACCCGCACCACUUAUCGUGGUGGGAGACAGUGUCAGGCGGGCAGUUUGACUGGGGCGGUCGCCUCCUAAAAGGUAACGGAGGCGCUCAAAGGUUCCCUCAGAAUGGUUGGAAAUCAUUCAUAGAGUGUAAAGGCAUAAGGGAGCUUGACUGCGAGACCUACAAGUCGAGCAGGGUCGAAAGACGGACUUAGUGAUCCGGUGGUUCCGCAUGGAAGGGCCAUCGCUCAACGGAUAAAAGCUACCCCGGGGAUAACAGGCUUAUCUCCCCCAAGAGUUCACAUCGACGGGGAGGUUUGGCACCUCGAUGUCGGCUCAUCGCAUCCUGGGGCUGUAGUCGGUCCCAAGGGUUGGGCUGUUCGCCCAUUAAAGCGGUACGCGAGCUGGGUUCAGAACGUCGUGAGACAGUUCGGUCCCUAUCCGUCGUGGGCGUAGGAAAUUUGAGAGGAGCUGUCCUUAGUACGAGAGGACCGGGAUGGACAUACCUCUGGUGUACCAGUUGUCGUGCCAACGGCAUAGCUGGGUAGCUAUGUGUGGACGGGAUAAGUGCUGAAAGCAUCUAAGCAUGAAGCCCCCCUCAAGAUGAGAUUUCCCGACUUCGGUUAUAAGAUCCCUCAAAGAUGAUGAGGUUAAUAGGUUCGAGGUGGAAGCAUGGUGACAUGUGGAGCUGACGAAUACUAAUCGAUCGAAGACUUAAUCAA